Molecule: ribosomal RNA, 481 nt
Filed under: uncultured Tissierella sp.
Lineage: Bacteria; Bacillati; Bacillota; Tissierellia; Tissierellales; Tissierellaceae
Description: bacterial SSU rRNA
Rfam family: Bacterial small subunit ribosomal RNA
Source: RNAcentral
GGACGAACGCUGGCGGCGUGCCUAACACAUGCAAGUCGAGCGAAGUUUUUAAAGCGGAUUUCUUCGGAUUGAAGCUUUGAUUAUCUUAGCGGCGGACGGGUGAGUAACGCGUGAGAAACCUGCCUUUCACAAAGGGAUAGCCUCGGGAAACUGGGAUUAAUACCUUAUGAUACUAAUUCUUCGCAUGAAGAAUUAGUCAAAGCGUAAAGCGGUGAAAGAUGGUCUCGCGUCCCAUUAGUUAGUUGGUGAGGUAACGGCUCACCAAGACCGCGAUGGGUAGCCGGCCUGAGAGGGUGAACGGCCACACUGGAACUGAGACACGGUCCAGACUCCUACGGGAGGCAGCAGUGGGGAAUAUUGCACAAUGGAGGAAACUCUGAUGCAGCGACGCCGCGUGAACGAUGAAGGCCUUCGGGUCGUAAAGUUCUGUCCUAGGGGACGAUAAUGACGGUACCCUAGGAGGAAGCCCCGGCUAACUACG